AUUGAACGCUGGCGGUAGGCCUAACACAUGCAAGUCGAACGCGAAAGUCCUUCGGGAUGAGUAGAGUGGCGGACGGGUGAGUAACGCGUAGGAAUCUGUCCUGUAGUGGGGGAGUAACGUUUCGAAAGGAACGCUAAUACCGCAUACGCCCUACCGGGGAAAGGACGGGGGAGUCUUCGGACCUCGUGCUAUAGGAGGAGCCUGCGUCGGAUUAGCUAGUUGGUGAGGUAAAGGCUCACCAAGGCGACGAUCCGUAGCUGGUCUGAGAGGAUGAUCAGCCACACCGGAACUGAGACACGGUCCGGACUCCUAC
RNAcentral lists this ribosomal RNA (313 nucleotides) under uncultured bacterium. Its description in RNAcentral is "bacterial SSU rRNA". It matches the Rfam family "Bacterial small subunit ribosomal RNA", at positions 30 to 342 of the family's 1533-position model. The record is from RNAcentral.